Molecule: transfer RNA, 74 nt
Filed under: Oscillospiraceae bacterium
Lineage: Bacteria; Bacillati; Bacillota; Clostridia; Eubacteriales; Oscillospiraceae
Description: tRNA-Gln
Rfam family: tRNA
About the family: Transfer RNA (tRNA) molecules are approximately 80 nucleotides in length. Their secondary structure includes four short double-helical elements and three loops (D, anti-codon, and T loops). Further hydrogen bonds mediate the characteristic L-shaped molecular structure. tRNAs have two regions of fundamental functional importance: the anti-codon, which is responsible for specific mRNA codon recognition, and the 3' end, to which the tRNAs corresponding amino acid is attached (by aminoacyl-tRNA synthetases). tRNAs cope with the degeneracy of the genetic code in two manners: having more than one tRNA (with a specific anti-codon) for a particular amino acid; and 'wobble' base-pairing, i.e. permitting non-standard base-pairing at the 3rd anti-codon position.
Source: RNAcentral
UGCGGGAUGGUGUAAUGGCAGCACCAACGACUCUGACUCGUUUUGUGAGGGUUCAAAUCCUUCUCCCGCAGCCA